UUUUUGUUANGAAAAAUAUAUUAAAAUAAUACCUGCCCAGUGUUUAAUAAUAAAUGGCCGCAGUACCUUGACUGUGCUAAGGUAGCAUAAUCAAUUGGCUUUUAAUUGAAGUCUGGAAUGAAAGGAUAAAUGAAAAAUCACUGUCUUAUUUUUAUUAAUUAAAAUUUAUUUAUAAGGUGAAAAUACCUUAUUUAAGAAUAAAGACGAGAAGACCCUAUGAAUUUUUAUUAAAUAUUAAAUAUUUAUUAUAUAUUUUUGUUGGGGCGACAUUUUAACAAAUUUAACUUAAGUUUUUUAUCUAACGUUUAUAUAAAUUAAAUUUAAAUUACCUUAGGGAUAACAGCCUAAUUUUUUUAUA
Molecule: ribosomal RNA, 358 nt
Filed under: Segmentina sp. AJ-2004
Lineage: Eukaryota; Metazoa; Mollusca; Gastropoda; Planorbidae
Description: partial 16S ribosomal RNA
Source: RNAcentral